AUUGAACGCUGGCGGCAUGCCUUACACAUGCAAGUCGAACGGCAGCGCGGGGCAACCUGGCGGCGAGUGGCGAACGGGUGAGUAACAUAUCGGAACAUACCCUAGAGUGGGGGAUAACGUAGCGAAAGUUACGCUAAUACCGCAUACGCACUAAGGUGGAAAGUGGGGGAUCUUCGGACCUCAUGCUCAUGGAGUGGCCGAUAUCUGAUUAGCUAGUUGGUGAGGUAAAGGCUCACCAAGGCGACGAUCAGUAGCUGGUUUGAGAGAACGACCAGCCACACUGGAACUGAGACACGGUCCAGACUCCUACGGGAGGCAGCAGUGGGGGAAUUUUUGGACAAUAGGGCGCAAGCCUGAUCCAGCAAUGCCGCGUGCAGGAUGAAGGCC
RNAcentral lists this ribosomal RNA (387 nucleotides) under uncultured bacterium. RNAcentral describes it as "bacterial SSU rRNA". It matches the Rfam family "Bacterial small subunit ribosomal RNA", at positions 30 to 416 of the family's 1533-position model. The record is from RNAcentral.